RNAcentral lists this ribosomal RNA (254 nucleotides) under uncultured bacterium. Its description in RNAcentral is "partial 16S ribosomal RNA". It matches the Rfam family "Archaeal small subunit ribosomal RNA", at positions 474 to 727 of the family's 1478-position model. The record is from RNAcentral.
UCCCGGCAGUCCAAGUCGCAGCCACAUUUGUUGGGUCUAAAAUAUCCGUAGCUUGCCUUUCAAGUCUUUUGUGAAAUCGGGACUCUUAAGGUUCCGGCGGGCAAAAGAUACUGUAAGGCUAGGGACCGGCAGGCGCAAAAAGUACAGAUGGGGUAGCGGUAAAAUGUGUUGAUCCCAUUUGGACUAACAGUCGCGAAGGCGUUUUGCGAGGACGGAUCCGACAGUGAGGGAUGAAGGCUAGGGGCGCAAAGUGG